This 607-nucleotide ribosomal RNA is filed under the name Salmonella enterica. RNAcentral describes it as "partial 23S ribosomal RNA". It matches the Rfam family "Bacterial large subunit ribosomal RNA", at positions 582 to 1190 of the family's 2925-position model. The record is from RNAcentral. Lineage: Bacteria; Pseudomonadati; Pseudomonadota; Gammaproteobacteria; Enterobacterales; Enterobacteriaceae. RNAcentral also lists the same sequence under 3 other names.
CCCUUUGGGGUGUGACUGCGUACCUUUUGUAUAAUGGGUCAGCGACUUAUAUUCUGUAGCAAGGUUAACCGUAUAGGGGAGCCGGAGGGAAACCGAGUCUUAACCGGGCGUUAAGUUGCAGGGUAUAGACCCGAAACCCGGUGAUCUAGCCAUGGGCAGGUUGAAGGUUGGGUAACACUAACUGGAGGACCGAACCGACUAAUGUUGAAAAAUUAGCGGAUGACCUGUGGCUGGGGGUGAAAGGCCAAUCAAACCGGGAGAUAGCUGGUUCUCCCCGAAAGCUAUUUAGGUAGCGCCUCGUGAAUUCAUCUCCGGGGGUAGAGCACUGUUUCGGCUAGGGGGCCAUCCCGGCUUACCAACCCGAUGCAAACUGCGAAUACCGGAGAAUGUUAUCACGGGAGACACACGGCGGGUGCUAACGUCCGUCGUGAAGAGGGAAACAACCCAGACCGCCAGCUAAGGUCCCAAAGUCAUGGUUAAGUGGGAAACGAUGUGGGAAGGCCCAGACAGCCAGGAUGUUGGCUUAGAAGCAGCCAUCAUUUAAAGAAAGCGUAAUAGCUCACUGGUCGAGUCGGCCUGCGCGGAAGAUGUAACGGGGCUAAACCAU